Long non-coding RNA from Xenia sp. Carnegie-2017, 657 nucleotides. RefSeq lists it as uncharacterized. NCBI's taxonomy places the organism in Eukaryota, Metazoa, Cnidaria, Anthozoa, Malacalcyonacea, Xeniidae. The transcript is spliced from 6 exons. The record is from RefSeq and is a predicted model, not a curated record.
GGAAUGUAAUUUCUUGAUAUCGUUUGGACUUGAAAGAACUUGUUUACAUUGUAUGUGAAAAAACAGUACAAUGGUGGCGCAUAAUGAAUCCUACAUACUACAUGAUGUUUUUCGUGGAUUUACUUAUCUAAUCGUUUAUCACAAUCAUAGUCAUCGUAUAGAAAAUCACGGUUGUCGAGAAUUUACUUCAUGGUCGUCAUGGAUUUAUAUCAUCGUCAAGGAUCAACAUCAUCGUGGUUGUGGAUGUCAAAUUAACCUUGGAUUAAUCAAUUGAGGAUUACGUUACUCUACGAAAGAUGGCCAAAGACGACGUUUCAGGAUUUCAGUUCCAUAUUCCGGAAGUGAUGAUACAUCUAUGCUUCCCUUCUGUUGUUGCCGAGACUCAUUCACAUCUAACAGCAAGGCCUAUGGAGACCAUCAUAAAAUAAUUUCUAUGAAAGAAGAUACAUAUAAAUGAGCAAGACACAAACUAAGGCAUUCUUUAAGUUACAUGUGUGGCAUUCAUUAUUUUGACAUAAAUGUAAGACAAUGAAGACAAGAUCAAAAUAUAUCCGACUUUGCAUUUGAAACAGUUCAUCAAAAUCAUGAGUAGCAACUCUUGUGUCAUUAUUCCAAGGAGGUAAUUUUUGUGAUAUAUUUUUGGGCGAACGACCGAGA